RNAcentral lists this unclassified non-coding RNA (882 nucleotides) under Hevea brasiliensis (rubber tree). The record is from RNAcentral. Lineage: Eukaryota; Viridiplantae; Streptophyta; Magnoliopsida; Malpighiales; Euphorbiaceae.
GGCCUAUAGGUUGGGUCGUGACAACUCUUAUGUGCGUGACUUACUAGGUUCAUUACUAAUUAGCAAUGAGAAUAAUAUUAACUUCUUAAUAUUAUUGGAACCAUUCCAAACUCAAAUAAAAUUUUCUUUUCAUUUAAGUUCUCAUAAGUCAUAGUUGAAAUCUAGCAUAAUGUAUUAUGUUAUCUAAUUAGUUCUGAAUUAAUUUCCCAAUUCAUGAACCUUGAUCAUACGUAUCAUGCACUAGAAUCUCUCUGUUGCAAAAUCUCAAUUUUAGCUAGAGUCAUGGGUCAUAUCAAACUCUUAUGCUUAGAAUCAUAUGUUCUUCUUUUAAUUAUAAUUCUUGAUUAAUAAGACUUUUCUGUUAGAAACUCUUUUCUGACUAAGUCUAUCUGUCGUAGUCAUGAACUUGAAUUCAUCAAAAAUAAUUAAAUGGACUUAGGGUAACGGAUCCCGUAUUGACUAAUACUUAUCUCCAUAUAUAACUGGUUGGAGUCAACACAUGCCCAUAUAUCCAUACGUAUUACAAGUAUGAAAACAGUAUCAAAUUUAAACCAUCUAUAUACAAGAUAAUUGUGUUAUCUCAGAUCAAGAGAUUAUAUGUACUAUUGUGAUCUAGAUGACUUUAUAUUGACAAGAGCAAACUCCAUGUACAAGUCAUCUUGAGUCACUGGUUCGGCCUACUUAUCUUAUAAGUAUCCACUAUAUUUGUUUAUGGCAUGAAAUUUACCAUUCCAUCUCAUUAGUAUAUUAUACUAAUCAUGGACACAAAUAUAAAAUGACAAUCAAUCCGGAUAAAUUAUGUCUAAUGAGGUAUCAUUGAUUGUGAACCAAAUUUAUAAUAUCUUAUACUAAAAUAUUUUGUCACUCAUAUUCUUAACAACU